AUCUGUGUGUCUAAAGUACAGAUCUGUGUGUGUCUAAAGUACAGAUCUGUGUGUUUCUGUAAAGUACAGAUCUGUGUGUUUCUGUAAAGUACAGAUCUGUGUGUUUCUGUAAAGUACAGAUCUGUGUGUUUCUGUAAAGUACAGAUCUGUGUGUCUGUAAAGUACAGAUCUGUGUGUUUCUGUAAAGUGCAGAUAUGUGUGUUUCUGUAAAGUACAGAUCUGUGUCUCUGCAUAACGUGUUGUAGUGGCUGCAUGAGCUACUCUGGUGGGAAUGAGGUCCAAAUCAGAGCUCAUGUUAAUUCCACAUUGAUGCUGAGAUAUGAUAAUUAGAUAUGGGCAGGUUCACUCUGUAACAUCACCUGCUUGUACUUCAGAUGGUCUUCCUCUGAGGAGUGGUCUUCAGCGUGUCUGAUUUGGCCUCUUGUUCAGGAUCCCUUAGUACCCUAAUUAUUAACAAAUCCUUAGCUGCUGAAGCAAUGACCUGAUGCUCCAUGGGUCAGAGGUCAUCAGGUGAACUUUAACCUUCGGUCUACAAAGACCUCCUCAUGUUGGAACAUGUUCAGGAAGAGUAAAGCACGUUGGCUGGCACAGAUUUGAACCGUUGAAGCAUUUCAUAAAUUCAGUGAUCUUUCAUUUUUAACAAUUUAAGUGUAUCAUUUGAAUGCCACAGUGUGCGCUUUGAUCAGGCGGUAUUCAUCACAACCAACUCCAAUCUCAACUAGCAACUAGGGAUGGGCAAGAGUAGUAAAUUCCAAACUCGAGUGAUCGAAGGAAUUCCUCGAGGAUCAAUCGAGUACUCGUUUAAUCAAAUCUAUUUUUAGAAUGCAACGCAUCUGCAGCAGGAAUAGGCCUAAUGAUGAACGGCAAUAUUACCAACCAAACAUGUAAUGCUUAUUCUCCAUCAAAACAGUCAGGGUUAUCAGAGUAUUGAUUAUUUAUUUUUGCAAACGUUCAAAACACAUUUUCCUUACAAAAAUAAAUAUGCGUCUCACAAUUUAAAUCACGUCGAACCAAGGCCUGUAACGGUUUAAAAAAAAAAAAAAAACAUUGCAAAUAAUUUAAAGCUGCAAAUAAAACGGCAGCAAAUGGACUAUGGAAAUACUCAGCGUUGUGAUCUUCUCUGCACGGCCGGGAUUACAGCUGCGUCUUGCGGCGGUGAAAAUAGCCGACACACUUAGUUGCUGCGGGUCUGCUUUCCCCAACUCACCGUUGUGUUUCAGGAGCAUAUGUUGCCGCAGCAUAGUACUUGUAGUACUCUGGUACCUCGAUUUCGCUUGGCAUAUUUUAAAUUUCACCUUAUGAUCUCCUAUUUCUUUAAAGUAUUUCAAUUCUUCGCUGCGCUUUGCUUUAACCGCCGUCUCUUAACUUUUUGAAUUCUGGCGUGCCUGCACACGGCACGGCACGCGCCACACAGAAAUGGAUACAUUUCACUUUCUUUGUGCCCACGGCAUGCGUUGGUGGCGCCGCACAGACAAGUGAUACAUUUGCUUCAGAAAACUUUGUUAGUGUGUGUAUAUAUGCAAACUCGAGUUUGCCUGUCUACCAACCGAGUUCAUUUGUAACGAGGAGUACUCGAGUAAUCGAUUCCUCACGCCCAACCCUACUAGCAACCAAUCAAACUUAAACCAGGUGGGCUUUUCCUCCGCGUUCUUCCCAACGUGCUCAGUCAGAUAGACACAGUGUUCCUGGGAAUGCCGCCUAGCGUUCCUGGGCCUAGGGGGGCGUCCACAUCUAGGAUCGACCCCUGCACCUCACACACCAGACCUCUGGAUGGUUCUACGUGUCAACACUGGUCCCCGUCAGAGAGAGCAGAAUGAGUGUUUCCCUCCACAGGCGUUGUCCCGGGCGAGGUCGUUUUAGUGCGGGUGCGGGAGCGCCGGACCAGCAGCCAAUCUCACGGAUCGUUAACUCCCAUCCGCCGAUAACGGCGGCCUGGAGAGCGACCUCGGGGACGGCAAAUGUUUGCACUUCUGCAGGCGGCGGUCUGGGGUGGCCACGGCCGGCAUACGGCGGCGUGGUCCCGAUCACGGAUUCUCCGGUUGUCAUGGCGGCGAAUUCCCGUGGAACACGGGUUCCCCUGUUGGCGUGGUGCUGGGAGCACGGGUUCUGCUGUUGUCAUGGUCCUACUGAACACGGGUUCUCCUGCUGAACACGGGUUCUCCUGUUGUCGUGGUCCCGGGAACACGGGUUCUCCUGUUGGCACACGGCGUGAUCCUGCUGAUCACAGGUUCUCCUGUUGGCACACGGCGUGGGCCUGCUGAUCACAGGUUGUCCUGUUGUCGGUCCUCUUCAUGGGCUCCGCGCGGCGCUCCUGAUGGAGGGGGCCGGGCCACGCCGUUUAAGCUGAAGGUGCUCCAGCCGUUUAUCAGCGGAGGCGGGCUGAGAGCGUGGGGUCGACGUCCGGCUGCGUGGACCCCGACGCGGUGGGGGGGAACACCUGAGGCCGGGGACGCAUCGUCUGGUUUGUGGUCAGGUACUGAGGAAGAGCUUCAGUCGACUGGUCCGUUAGAACCUUAAGGGUAGCGGUCUAAAGGAGAGGGCGGUGGGACACUGGUGGAACGGGGAUAGCAUCAUCCAGGCCCUUGGGGCUGGACUCGGACGGAAGGACAAAGAGGGAACAAACGUAACACAAUCCGGAUUCUGCAGAUUUAGAUUGUUGUGUCCUGAGGGAGCAGAAUCACGCGGGUUACGGCUUUGUGUCCAAUCCAAUCUGUCCUUUGUGUUUGUGUGUCUGUGUUUGUGUGUCUGUUUGUGUGUGUCUGUGUGGAAUGAGGGCACCUGUGCUGGUGGAUUUGGCGUCCCAAUAUCCAGAGCGAUAACGUCUGCCCCCCCCCCAUCAUCCCAUGCCUCUCUCUGAUUGGCUGGAGUGGGAGUUCGGAUAAGGUUCUGUCGUCUAAUCCGCCCAGCGAUCGCCGCUGACGGCCGUCCGUAGGAUGGCUUAGUGGAGGACAAAUCUCCGCCAGAUAGGAACUCUCUUCUCUCUACUACACCUCUCUCUUUGACUCUGUCUCUCUCUUCUCCUCUCUCUCCUUCUCUUCUCUCUGUCUCUCUCUCUCUCUACUCCACCUCUCUCUCUCUCUCGCUCGUCUCUCUCUCUCUCGCUCGUCUCUCUCUCUCUCUCUCUCGCUCGUCUCUCUCUCUCUCGCUCGUCUCUCUCUCUCGCUGGUCUCUCUCUCUCUCUCUCUCUCUCUGUCUCUGUCUCUGUCCCUCUCUGUCUCUCUCUCUCUCCUCCACCUCUCUCCUCUCUGUCUCUCUCUCCUCCACCUCUGUCUCUCUCUCUCUCUGUCUCCUCCACUGUCUGCUUUGUUCCAUCACGCCUCCUCUAUCUCUACAUCGCUGCCAAGCCCUUCAGGCACUUUCCUCUCCACCUCUCUCCUCUUCUCAGCCUUUAUCUGUUAUUCGGUGCUUCCCCACUCUCGUCUUUUUCUUUCACUCUUACUUUCUUUUUCACUUUUCCGUGUGGUGGGAAAUGUGUGAUGGUGGUCCCUCUUAGCUGGGAGCACUGGGACUGAACUGGAAUAUAAAGUCUGGUUGUUGUUCAUCCGGUGUGUGUGUGUGUGUGUGUGUGUGUGUGUGUGUGUGUGUGUGUGUGUGUGUGUGUGUGUGUGUGUGUGUGUGUGUGUGUGUGUGUGUGUGUGUGUGUGUGUGUGUGUGUGUGUGUGUGUGUGUGUGUGUGUGUGUGUGUGUGGCCAUCUUUCUCUGCUGGUUGUAAUCUCCCACCGCAGAGCGGCACAUCCUUCCUGGUGUCAGGCGCUCCUCUCUGUGUGUGUUUGUUGUUGUGCGCUCUGUCGGUUGUAAACGGCGGUUUGUCAGAUAGAGGCGUGGUGCGGGGAGUGGGACCCGUAUGUCUGGAGGACGGGGAGGGAACGUGUUGGACCGGCUGGAGCUGAAGCUCUGCUGGCCUGAGGCGGAGACGAGAGGGAGGCUCCCGACCCCUGACCUCUGACCCCCACCUCCAGGUAGAGGCUCCUGACCCCCGACCUCCAGGUAGAGGCUCCUGACCCCCUGAACUCCAGGUAGAGGCUCCCGACCUCCAGGUAGAGGCUCUUGACCCCUGACCUCUUGACCUCCAGGUAGAGGCUCCUGACCUCUUGACCUCCAGGUAGAGGCUCCUGAGAGUCCUGACCCCCUGACCUCUUGACCUCCAGGUAGAGGCUUCUGACCUCCGCCAGCCUGUGUUCGCGUUAAGCUGCCAGCCCUGACAGCGUCGUGGCCCCUGAUGUAUGGCGGCCUGUCAGGCAGACGACACAGAGCCCCACACACAGACACGAACGCGCACACACACGGCUGUAUUACCGCCCGGUUAGGACCGCAUUUCAUUGUGAACUAAGCCUGAAAUGCGUAAAGAAUCCGGUCAAUCUGCCACUGUAAUGUUCAGCUUUUCGUUUUGUUGAGGGUAAAACGACAUUUAUUUACUCUCCUAAUGACUUUGCCUUCUGGAGGCCACCGACAGACCGACGACACCUGAUGCUCUGCGCUCACUCUCAGGGUUGAGUCAUAUUGCCCACUGCCAACUAGCUGCUGUUGCUGUUGCCUCAUAUAUAUGAUAAUGAGGGAGGGGGGCUGGUGUCUGGAGGAUGUCUGGUCGCCCCCGCCCUUCAGAGUGGGAGGGGAGGAGCAUCCCUCCCAUCCUCCUCCCUGCUCCUCGCUAAACGCACUCUCCCCUUUCCCUCCUGAUCUCUCUGCCUCUCAGUCCCUGAUCUGCUCUCUCUCUGUCUCUCUGUCUCUCUGUCUCUCUCUCUCUCUCUCUCUGUCUCUGUCUCUCUCUCUCUGUCUCUCUGUCUCUCUGUCUCUGUCUCUGUCUCUGUCUCUCUCUCUCUCUUGCUCUCUCUCUCUUUGACUCUCUCUCGCAUCAUUUCUACUCUCUCUUGCUCGCUCUCUGUCACUCUCUCUCUCAUUUGUGCACAUCCUCUAUUUCUCGGUCCCCCCCCCCCCCCCCCCCCCCCCUCCCUGCUAGCUAGUCAGCACGAGCCCAUCCCUUUAAUCUGUCCAGCAUAGAGAAGAGACAGAGAGAGAGGGACAGACAGAAGGACACUGGGCCUGGAGACACUGGGACUGGAG
Molecule: long non-coding RNA, 5061 nt
Organism: Gadus macrocephalus (Pacific cod)
Lineage: Eukaryota; Metazoa; Chordata; Actinopteri; Gadiformes; Gadidae
Exons: 3
Source: RefSeq, a predicted model, not a curated record